Molecule: ribosomal RNA, 548 nt
Filed under: uncultured archaeon
Lineage: Archaea
Description: bacterial SSU rRNA
Rfam family: Archaeal small subunit ribosomal RNA
Source: RNAcentral
AGCAGCAGGCGCGAAAAUUUCGCAAUGUGGGAAACCACGACGAAGGUAUUCCAAGUGGUUACACUUUAAGUGUAAGCUGUUCUUCCGUCUAAAAAGCGGAAGGAGUAAGGGCCGGGUAAGACGGGUGCCAGCCGCCGCGGUAAUACCCGCGGCCCAAGUGGUGCUCGUUAUUAUUGAGCCUAAAGCGUUCGUAGCCGGUCUGUUAAAUCCCUGGGUAAAUCGAGCCGCUUAACGGUUCGAAUUCCGGGGAGACUGACAGACUUGGGAUCGGGAGAGCCGAGAGGUACUCCAGGGGUAGGGGUAAAAUCCUGUAAUCCUUGGGGGACCACCAGUGGCGAAGGCGUCUCGGUAGAACGAAUCCGACGGUGAGGGACGAAGCCUUGGGGAGCAAAUGGGAUUAGAUACCCCAGUAGUCCAAGGUGUAAACGCUGCAGACUUGGUGUCGGGUGUCCUACGUGGGCAUCCGGUGCCGGAGCGAAGGUGUUAAGUCUGCCGCUUGGGGAGUACGCUCGCAAGAGUGAAACUUAAAGGAAUUGGCGGGGGAGGAC